Molecule: transfer RNA, 72 nt
Filed under: Candidatus Moranbacteria bacterium RIFCSPHIGHO2_01_FULL_55_24
Lineage: Bacteria; Candidatus Moraniibacteriota
Description: tRNA-Arg
Rfam family: tRNA
About the family: Transfer RNA (tRNA) molecules are approximately 80 nucleotides in length.
Source: RNAcentral
GCCCUCGUAGCUUAAUGGAUAAAGCUUCGGUCUUCGGAACCGACAAUGGGAGUUCGAUUCUCUCCGAGGGCA